Molecule: long non-coding RNA, 988 nt
Organism: Aphis gossypii (cotton aphid)
Lineage: Eukaryota; Metazoa; Arthropoda; Insecta; Hemiptera; Aphididae
Exons: 4
Source: RefSeq, a predicted model, not a curated record
UUACGAUAUAUAGCUGUUGCUAUUACUCAAUUAAGUGCAAUGGGGAACGUAAUAGCAAUUGACGAUAUUGAGUUAUAUUUAAAAAAAAUGGAAUGUUCAAUAUUCAUGUUAGUGAACAUAUUAAAAACAAUAAUGCUCAAAUUCAAAACGUUAUGCACACAACAACCUCUGAUUUAGAUUACACUACUACAUUAAACCAAAAAUUAUUUAAUAUAAUACAGCAAAAUAAUUUUUUAAAUAAUUACAAAUCGUAUAAAACUGAAAUAAUCAAUAACAUCAUGUCUGAAAACAAACAUUUAAAAAAACAGAAAGCAAAAUUCAUUUCCGCAUACAAAAAAAAAUUAAACGAUGCAUUUGCUAGUAAGCAACUUGAAAACCUCGUUGAAUUUGAAAUUGAGAAGCAAAUACCGAAGGUUGAUUAUUUUUAUAAUGCUACAAAAGAAUGGAAAGUGAAUGAAAAAAAUGAUCAAUUGAACCACAUGAAAAGUUUAAAUAUAAUGCCGGUUGUCUUGUACAACAAAUUCAAAAAACUAAGUGACGAUUAUUUGUUAAAAUAAAAUAAAGAAAACACUGUUCAUCAUAUUUUAAACAGAACAACUUUUUUUGAAUGUGUGUCGUAUGAUAAAUAUAAACAGAAUCCAGAAUUUGCGCAAUUAAUGCACGACGCAAUUAGUAACAUGGUGAUAUGUAUACAAUUCAAUAUUGUAUACCAACAUAUUGGCCCAUUUUACGAAGUCAAUGAUGCGUUGACGGAAGAUGGAUAUUCAGUAUAUCGUAAAGAACUUUUCCAUAAUUUUAGAAUGAUGGUGUCCAAAUUAGAAGAUUUGGAAAAAAACAAAUAUUUCGACAUCGAUAUGAUUGUAAAGGACGUUCCACGAAUGAAAACGGUGUAUACGGACAAUGGCCAAUGUUUAACAAAAUUUAUUCACGAGGAACAUGACAAAUUAAAAAUUAUUGAUAUCAUGAUUUUAGGUGUAUUUCAAUGGUU